GUAGUCAACCUCUACUUCAAUCUCGCAGCUGGCGAAGGAGUGUUCCUUCCCACCUUAUGUGAAGCACAGCGAAUGAAUGCUCACCGUGAGAUGGCGGAGAUACGAAGCAGCGGUGCAGCAGCAGUGAUGGCAUAUGAGUGGUUUGGAGAGUCUCCUGCUUAUCCUCCGAGCGACAUCCCUGUCGACGUCUUCCCCCCGGCAGAAUCACCCAUCAUGCUGUAGUUUGUGUAACAUGUAGUAAUUAUAUUGCCGCCAUGGGAAUCUUCUUCCCUCACGACUCGCAAUUGAUUCCCAGGAACACCAUAUGCCAAGCUCUCAUCUUAGAAGUAUUGCUCCCAUACAAAGGGAUCUUAAUGAAUAAAGUAUGGGUUGGUGAUGAACA
This is a non-coding RNA of Musa acuminata subsp. malaccensis (wild Malaysian banana), 382 nucleotides long. The record is from RefSeq and is a predicted model, not a curated record. NCBI's taxonomy places the organism in Eukaryota, Viridiplantae, Streptophyta, Magnoliopsida, Zingiberales, Musaceae.